CCUGGCUUCCCUUCCCAGGAGGGCAGCAAAGAAAAGAAACGGGCAGCUCCAAAGGCCUCUCGGAUCAGGACUUGGGAUGCUGCCUUCUGGGAAUCUCCAGCCACAGAGUUUCCUUCCAGAGGUUAAAGUAUGUGUGAGCUUCAUCAUCACAUCUACAAUGAAACUGCUUCAUCAUCACAUCUACAGUCAGAAUUGCUGCUGACUACAGGGCCCUGGAAGGAUGGUGGGAUGUUGGAAAAGAAGAUACCCAGGCACAAUAGGAGCCUGGUAGAUGUGAUGAUUAGAACAAAAACCUGGAAAGGUUGAGAGAGAGGGAAAGAGGGCUUUGUCCGGAGCGUUGAUUAAACUUCCCGGUAGGCAUGAACAGCCUUGGUUUGUAAAUGGGAGGGUGAAACAUGCAGGUCUGCCGCUCACAUGCUGCCCUUAUUGGAAAACCCUUCCAUUGCCCUCCUUAGCUGAGCUUCCUCACAGAAUGGCCUUUUGCCUCCAAAACAUGCACAUUUUUUAAAGACUGUAUAUUGCCCUCGUAGGAAUUACUUCUGUGGCUAGAGGCAGAAAAACAGGAAAGAAAAGGUCCACCACAUUUGUGCAUUUCAGUUUACGGUGCACAACCUAAGAAGCCUUGUGAUUUGUCCCAUAGCUAGUCUUCACUUAGAUAGCAUUUACCCAAAAUUGGCUAAAACCUUCCUUAAAGUGAUUCAGCUACGAGUUUUGAUAUGUUGGGAGCAAAGGAAGCUAUGUUACAUGUAUCAAGUUAGACCACAGAAGCUCUCCAGUGUUUAGCGAGGGAACAUUCCCAGCCUUACUUGGAGACAUGGGAGAUUUAACCUGUGUACAAAGCAUGCACUCUACUGUUCUACCACAGUAUCUGUGGGCUUUUGAUUGUUUUCACAAAUACCGUAUUUUUUGCACCAUAACGCUCACUUUUUUCCUCCUAGAAAGUGAGGGGAAAUGUCUGUGCGUGUUAUGGAACGAAUGCCUACGGAUGGCGGGGGGAUCUGCUGCAGUCGUGAGCAGAGGAUCCAUGGUUCCCCUUCCUUCCCUCCUCCGUGGCUUGCUUUGAAACAGCAAAGCGGGAGAAGAGCCGCUGAGUGGGGAGGAGAGAGGGACAGAGAGCCUGCUUGCUUUAAAGGAGUAAAGCGGGAGAGGAGAGGAGCCACUUACACGAGUCCAGAGCUGUUUUUUCCAGUGAGCCGGGGAGGAGGGAGAGAACAGCUCACUAAAUAGCAGCAAAGUUUUUUGCAAGCAGGCUCUCUGUCCCUCUCUCCUCCCCACUCAGCUGGCUUAAUAGCAGCAAAGUUUUUCAGCGAGCCGGGGAGGAGGGAGAGAAGCAGAGCCUUUAAAGGAGCAAAGCAGGAGAGGAGAGGAGCCUUCUCCUCUUAUACCCCUCUUCUGCAUUAUUAACAGCAUCCUUCUCCACCCACCACACGCGUGUUCCUUGUCCCUUGAGUGCUUUUCCUUCCCUCCCCACUUAAAACGUGGUUACAAAGCACGGAUCCACAUGGAUCCUCAGGAUUUUUGCACUGGGUCACCCCAAAUUCACCAUCAGAUGACAUAACAUGUCCAUGGCUACAGCUUGCACCAAAAAAACACGCACCCACUGUUGCCUGGGGCUGCAGUGGUGCAAAAACGUGGUUACAAAGCACAGAUCCACAUGGACCCUCAGGAUUUUUGCAUUGGGCUACCCCAAACUCACCGUCAGAUCACAUGUCUGUGGCCACAGCAUGAACCACAAAAAUCAUACAUCCACUGUUUCGUUUAGAAUAUUUUUUUUUCUUGUUUUCCUCCUCUAAAAACUAUGUGUGUGUUAUGGUCGGGUGCGUGUUAUAGAGCGAAAAACACGGUAUCUACAGAAUUUCCCAGACUAGAAUCACAGAGGUAUCAGAAAUCUGCUGUUAUCCAAGAGCUUCUAGUGUUACUUUCCGUAUCAAGUGGAAUGCCUUAUCUAAUAAUAAUAGUUAUAAUAAUUUUAUUAGUUAUGCCCUGCCCAUCCAGCUGGGUCUCCCCAGCCACCCUGGGCGGCUUCCAACACACAUAAAAACAUAAUAUAACAUCAAACAUAAAAAUAUGAAGAUGCACUCCCAAGGCUUACUCCUUCAGAUGUUUGAGGAAGGGAUUAAUUCGGCACACACGGAGAGAAAUCUAGCCUGUUACUUGCUUAGUUCUGAAAUGAAGGCAAUCCUGACCACAAAAUCCCAUUUCCCAUCAUUAGCUCUACGCAGAAGCACACCUACCUCAGAAUUAGUUGCUGGUUUUUCAGUUGCUGCAGAUCACAAGUGUACAACAGAUCUUGUUCUGGAUCUAUAAAAUACACAUAUUGGAAUCAUGCAUGCAGGCAAGGAGGGUAUUGAUUACUGGCUAGUCCCAGUCACGCUCGCCAAAGGAAAGCAUGCAGUAUGCAGUCUCAAGUGUGUGCUGGUUUCCCUAGUAAGUUCAUUAUUAAACUCUAUCCUUCCAGCAGGAGAUUAACCAUCCCAGCAAGUUACUCACUGACGUCACCCCUUAGCCUCCAGACGGCAAUCUGCCCCUGACCUCAGCUUCUCCAGUGGCAGCAGAGCAGAGCGGUGCUGGCUGGCAGCGGACUUGAGGACAGCUGGCCUUGAAGAACCCUAACAAAGAUAAAGACUCAGACACAGCUCUAGCUGCUAUACAGAAGCAGGUCAACAGCGCUGGCCUACAAUGGAAAGGCUGCCCAACUAAGUCAAGGAAGAAUCACGUGUAGAAGGACUGUAGAAUAAUAUUCUUCUUAUGCCUUAAACAAACAAACCAAAUCUGCACACCCAGUUUCCAUUUCUUAGUAAAUACAUGAAAAGCAGAGCAAUCCCAUGAUUCAGUGCAGGCUGUUAUACUGACAAGGAGGGUUGUUUUUUUUAAUUAUUAUUUCUUGCUUCACACAUAAAUGUCUACUACCAACCUGCUCUAUAUAAUGCUGAGGAUCCAUCUGUCAACACAGACAUCCAAAGUCUGUCCUACAGCCAUUUCCAAGUAACAGACACAAAGACAGUGAGACAGACUGCAUAACUGGAAGGACACCCCCCCCCUUGAAAAACAACAACAACCUGGCAACAAGAGGGGGAAACCCAUCUUCAUUACAUUUACAUCAUCAUAUAAAUGUUUGCAUUGCUGCUGAAUAUGUGGGGGUGGAAUAAAAAAAAAAACCCAAAGCA
Non-coding RNA from Podarcis lilfordi (Lilford's wall lizard), 3167 nucleotides. Lineage: Eukaryota; Metazoa; Chordata; Lepidosauria; Squamata; Lacertidae. The record is from the annotation of a GenBank genome assembly.